AGUGAACGCUGGCGGUAGGCCUAACACAUGCAAGUCGAACGGCAGCACAGUAAUAGCUUGCUCUUACGGGUGGCGAGUGGCGGGCGGGUGCUGAAUACCUCGGAGUCUGCUUUUUCGUGGGGGAGAACGUAGGGAAACUUACGCUAAUACCGCAUACGACCUACGGGUGAAAGCAGCGGAUCUUCGGACCUUGCGCGAUUGAAUGAGCCGAUGUCGGAUUAGCUAGUUGGAGGGGUAAAGGCCCACCAAGGCGACGAUCCGUAGCUGGUCUGAGAGGAUGAUCAGCCACACUGGAACUGAGACACGGUCCAGACUCCUACGGGAGGCAGCAGUGGGGAAUAUUGGACAAUGGGCGCAAGCCUGAUCCAGCCAUACCGCGUGGGUGAAGAAGGCCUUCGGGUUGUAAAGCCCUUUUGUUGGGAAAGAAAAGCAGUAGGUUAAUACCCCGCUGUUCUGACGGUACCCAAAGAAUAAGCACCGGCUAACUUCGUG
Molecule: ribosomal RNA, 492 nt
Filed under: uncultured bacterium
Lineage: Bacteria
Description: partial 16S ribosomal RNA
Rfam family: Bacterial small subunit ribosomal RNA
Source: RNAcentral